This 275-nucleotide small RNA is filed under the name Pseudomonas neustonica. RNAcentral's name for it is "5' ureB small RNA". It matches the Rfam family "5' ureB small RNA". Lineage: Bacteria; Pseudomonadati; Pseudomonadota; Gammaproteobacteria; Pseudomonadales; Pseudomonadaceae. The record is from RNAcentral.
AAUCUGCUGCGGGCAGAUAAAGUGAAUGUGCGCGUCAAUACCACCGGCGGUAAGGAUCAUGCCUUCGCCGGCAAUAAUUUCGGUACAGGGCCCGAUAAUGAUGUCGAUACCGGGUUGAAUGUCCGGGUUACCCGCUUUGCCGAUGGCCUGAAUGUUGCCAUCCUUGAGCGCCACGUCGGCCUUGAUUACACCCCACCAAUCGAGAAUCAGGGCAUUGGUAAUAACCGUAUCCGGGGUAUCCGUGCGGGUACGCUGGCUCUGGCCCAUGCCAUCAC